GAUGAACGCUGGCGGCGUGCCUAAUACAUGCAAGUCGAGCGAACGGACGAGAAGCUUGCUUCUCUGAUGUUAGCGGCGGACGGGUGAGUAACACGUGGAUAACCUACCUAUAAGACUGGGAUAACUUCGGGAAACCGGAGCUAAUACCGGAUAAUAUUUUGAACCGCAUGGUUCAAAAGUGAAAGACGGUCUUGCUGUCACUUAUAGAUGGAUCCGCGCUGCAUUAGCUAGUUGGUAAGGUAACGGCUUACCAAGGCAACGAUGCAUAGCCGACCUGAGAGGGUGAUCGCCCACACUGGAACUGAGACACGGUCCAGACUCCUACGGGAGGCAGCAGUAGGGAAUCUUCCGCAAUGGGCGAAAGCCUGACGGAGCAACGCCGCGUGAGUGAUGAAGGUCUUCGGAUCGUAAAACUCUGUUAUUAGGGAAGAACAUAUGUGUAAGUAACUGUGCACAUCUUGACGGUACCUAAUCAGAAAGCCACGGCUAACUACGUG
Molecule: ribosomal RNA, 497 nt
Filed under: uncultured bacterium
Lineage: Bacteria
Description: partial 16S ribosomal RNA
Rfam family: Bacterial small subunit ribosomal RNA
Source: RNAcentral